GACGAACGCUGGCGGCGUGCCUAACACAUGCAAGUCGAGCGAAUGAAGUUCCUUCGGGACUGGAUUUGGCGGCGGACGGGUGAGUAACACGUGGGCAACCUGCCUCAUAGAGGGGAAUAGCCUCCCGAAAGGGAGAUUAAUACCGCAUAAGAUUGUAGUACCGCAUGAUACAGCAAUUAAAGGAGCAAUCCGCUAUGAGAUGGGCCCGCGGCGCAUUAGCUAGUUGGUGAGGUAGUGGCUCACCAAGGCGACGAUGCGUAGCCGACCUGAGAGGGUGAUCGGCCACAUUGGGACUGAGACACGGCCCAGACUCCUACGGGAGGCAGCAGUGGGGAAUAUUGCACAAUGGGGGAAACCCUGAUGCAGCAACGCCGCGUGAGUGAUGACGGCCUUCGGGUUGUAAAGCUCUGUCUUCAGGGACGAUAAUGACGGUACCUGAGGAGGAAGCCACGGCUAACUACGUG
RNAcentral lists this ribosomal RNA (464 nucleotides) under uncultured bacterium. RNAcentral describes it as "partial 16S ribosomal RNA". It matches the Rfam family "Bacterial small subunit ribosomal RNA", at positions 28 to 507 of the family's 1533-position model. The record is from RNAcentral.